RNAcentral lists this long non-coding RNA (301 nucleotides) under Elaeis guineensis (African oil palm). RNAcentral describes it as "long non-coding RNA (EGUI_LNC032127)". The record is from RNAcentral. Lineage: Eukaryota; Viridiplantae; Streptophyta; Magnoliopsida; Arecales; Arecaceae.
GAGCCUUAUUUUGAGUAAAUUUUUACUAUCUAAAUUUUAUUAUUAAAUAUUCGAUAUAGAAAUAUGGUACUAAAUAAUAUCUUUUUGCUAGAGAGCAUAAGAUUGAGUUGAUGGAGUAAAGUUCGUUAAAUAUUGAGAACAGACAUAGAGAACAAUUUUCUUUGUGGGUAUAGCAUCGGGUGAGAACACAAACUUUACGAAUUAUCUGUGCGCAUACAUAUUAUUUUUUAUAUAUUCAACUAAUAUAAUUUAUUUUACAUAAUGGUAGAUGGCAAUAUUGUACAGAGUAGGAGAGGAAAGA